RNAcentral lists this ribosomal RNA (630 nucleotides) under Aspergillus flavus. Its description in RNAcentral is "eukaryotic LSU rRNA". The stretch from base 244 to 397 matches the Rfam family "5.8S ribosomal RNA". Lineage: Eukaryota; Fungi; Ascomycota; Eurotiomycetes; Eurotiales; Aspergillaceae. The record is from RNAcentral.
CGCUAGGAACCCUACACUCGGUAAUGAUCUUCCGUAGGGUGAACCUGCGGAAGGAUCAUUACCGAGUGUAGGGUUCCUAGCGAGCCCAACCUCCCACCCGUGUUUACUGUACCUUAGUUGCUUCGGCGGGCCCGCCAUUCAUGGCCGCCGGGGGCUCUCAGCCCCGGGCCCGCGCCCGCCGGAGACACCACGAACUCUGUCUGAUCUAGUGAAGUCUGAGUUGAUUGUAUCGCAAUCAGUUAAAACUUUCAACAAUGGAUCUCUUGGUUCCGGCAUCGAUGAAGAACGCAGCGAAAUGCGAUAACUAGUGUGAAUUGCAGAAUUCCGUGAAUCAUCGAGUCUUUGAACGCACAUUGCGCCCCCUGGUAUUCCGGGGGGCAUGCCUGUCCGAGCGUCAUUGCUGCCCAUCAAGCACGGCUUGUGUGUUGGGUCGUCGUCCCCUCUCCGGGGGGGACGGGCCCCAAAGGCAGCGGCGGCACCGCGUCCGAUCCUCGAGCGUAUGGGGCUUUGUCACCCGCUCUGUAGGCCCGGCCGGCGCUUGCCGAACGCAAAUCAAUCUUUUUCCAGGUUGACCUCGGAUCAGGUAGGGAUACCCGCUGAACUUAAGCAUAUCAAUAAGCGGAGGAAGAU